GAGCGCUGGCCGUGCAGCCGCGCGCUCUGCAUCGCUGCCCAAGGCCGUGGUCAGAAACAGCCUUUGAAGAGACAUCGGUGACUUCACCUGGCCCCGGACCUGGGMGUUCCCAAGCACGGUUAUUUGUAUCCUAGGACUCCAGACUUCAUUAAUUGAAGCUUCCCACUGAAUUCAGCAGGAUGUCGAUGCCUGACUGGUGUGUUCUGCUCCAGUGAUACUCACCCUGCUUGUUCUUCUGGAUAGCUUGGAGUGCAAGACCAUGUAUUUAAAGUUUUGUUCCCCAGUGGGGCUCCUGCACAGCAUGGGAACAGAGAUCAGAACCUGCUCGUGUACGUUACAUUCUCCAUUCCAGGAGGCAGAGAGAGCAGGGCGGA
Molecule: long non-coding RNA, 374 nt
Organism: Nothoprocta perdicaria
Lineage: Eukaryota; Metazoa; Chordata; Aves; Tinamiformes; Tinamidae
Exons: 3
Source: RefSeq, a predicted model, not a curated record